Hordeum vulgare subsp. vulgare (domesticated barley) is the source of this 1287-nucleotide RNA transcript. RefSeq lists it as uncharacterized. The record is from RefSeq and is a predicted model, not a curated record. NCBI's taxonomy places the organism in Eukaryota, Viridiplantae, Streptophyta, Magnoliopsida, Poales, Poaceae. The transcript has 5 exons.
GUUUUUUCACUGUUAUGGUGCAUUUGGUUAUGCAUCUAGCAACAGAGGCAAAAGUAGGUGGCCCAGUGUGCUACCGUUCGAUGUGGUUUGUGGAAAGGUAUAUAGGUAAGUUGAAGUCGAAUGUCCGUAACAGAGCUCAUCCUGAAGGAUCUAUCGGCGAAGCAUUUUUGGCAGAUGAGUGCAUGACAUUUUGUUCAAGAUAUAUUAUCGGUUUUGAGACUAAGCAUAACUUGGCUUCGAGGAACGAAGAUGACGAGGAGUGGGUUGGGAAUCAUGAUAUUGCACAUGGAUCAAGAUUAUUUCCUCAUUCUGGCAAUCCACUUGGAAGGCCUAGGAAUUAUGUUCUGAGCAGUGUGGCUAAAGUACAGGCACAUAGAUAUGUCUUGUUCAAUUGCUCCGAUGUGAACUCAUACCUUAGAGCUCAUGCUGAUGAGAUAACUAAUGGACGCAAUUUAAACCUUGAUGUUGUUGAGAGGAUUCAAAACGAUAAGUUCCACGAAUGGUUCCAAGCUCAUGAUGUGACGUACUAUGGGAGGGUAAUUGAUAUUGUCGAGCUAAAUUACUCUGGACAGUUUUCAGUGGUGUUGUUUAGAUGUGAAUGGGUUAAUGUGUUCUGAGAAAAAGGAAUGAAAAAAGACAAGUACGGUUACACACUUGUCAAUUUCUCACAUCAAAUACACAAAGGAGAAAAGAUUGAGCAUGAGCCUUUUAUUUUCCCUAACCAGGCGAAUCAAGUGUUCUGUGUGAAAGAUGAAUUGAAUCCAGGUUGGUUUGUGGUAAUGAAGUUGCCAAAGCCUAGAGAUGUAUAUGACUUAGGUAACUUGGAAUGGGAAGAGGAGACAGAAAACCAGCCAUUUCAUGUUUCACAGCUUGGAGAGAUUUUGAAAAGAAAGAACAAUGACCAACACUGGGUUAGAACAGACGUUGAGGGGACAAUAGUGGAUGCUACUAGUGCUUCGAGCAUCGAAGAAUAGUUGAGGUUAGUAGCAACAAGGUAUGCACUAUGUUCAGGUUUCGACUACAUGCUACAUGGAGGCAUAGAGGGGGUGGUGGCAUGUGUGCUUUGUGUUGGUACAGAACUGCUUGGUGGCUUCGUGCAGAGUAGCUAACAAACUUGCUUGACGAUAUACUAAUGUGUGAGACUAUGUGUUGGUCAAAACUUAGUGUACUCUUAUAUUUAUGCUUGAUAAUUUGGUUCGCUAUGACAGCACGUGCUUAUCUGGAACUUCAUUUUGUACUUUAAUCAACAACAGUUCAUAAUUGAGAUACACGCAACUUGUUUGGAAA